UGGGGAAUUUUGGACAAUGGGCGCAAGCCUGAUCCAGCCAUGCCGCGUGCAGGAUGAAGGCCUUCGGGUUGUAAACUGCUUUUGUACGGAACGAAAAGUCUCUUUCUAAUAAAGAGGGAUCAUGACGGUACCGUAAGAAUAAGCACCGGCUAACUACGUGCCAGCAGCCGCGGUAAUACGUAGGGUGCAAGCGUUAAUCGGAAUUACUGGGCGUAAAGCGUGCGCAGGCGGUGAUGUAAGACAGUUGUGAAAUCCCCGGGGCUCAACCUGGGAACUGCAUCUGUGACUGCAUCGCUGGAGUGCGGCAGAGGGGGAUGGAAUUCCGCGUGUAGCAGUGAAAUGCGUAGAUAUGCGGAGGAACACCGAUGGCGAAGGCAAUCCCCUGGGCCUGCACUGACGCUCAUGCACGAAAGCGUGGGGAGCAAACAGGAUUAGAUACCCUGGUAGUCCACGCCCUAAACGAUGUCAACUGGGUUGUUGGGAAUUCACUUUCUCAGUAACGAAGCUAACGCGUGAAGUUGACCGCCUGGGGGAGUACGGCCGCAAGGUUGAAACUUAAAUGAAUUGACGGGGGUCAUAGCUGUUUCCUG
Molecule: ribosomal RNA, 590 nt
Filed under: uncultured bacterium
Lineage: Bacteria
Description: partial 16S ribosomal RNA
Rfam family: Bacterial small subunit ribosomal RNA
Source: RNAcentral